Molecule: transfer RNA, 71 nt
Filed under: Protosalanx chinensis
Lineage: Eukaryota; Metazoa; Chordata; Actinopteri; Osmeriformes; Salangidae
Also listed under: 1 other name
Description: tRNA-Gln
Rfam family: tRNA
About the family: Transfer RNA (tRNA) molecules are approximately 80 nucleotides in length. Their secondary structure includes four short double-helical elements and three loops (D, anti-codon, and T loops).
Source: RNAcentral
UAGAAAGUGGUGUAGUGGGAGCACUAGGAGUUUUGAUCUCCUAAGGUUGGGUUCAACCCCCUUCUUUCUAA